GGCCUUCUAGCUCAGUUGGUCAGAGCGUCGUGCUAAUAACGCGAAGGUCACAGGUUCGAGACCUGUGUGGGCCA
Molecule: transfer RNA, 74 nt
Organism: Selaginella moellendorffii
Lineage: Eukaryota; Viridiplantae; Streptophyta; Lycopodiopsida; Selaginellales; Selaginellaceae
Rfam family: tRNA
About the family: Transfer RNA (tRNA) molecules are approximately 80 nucleotides in length.
Source: Rfam